GUAUUGAUUGCGUGUGACCGCAAAAACAAAACAUUCUAGACUGUAUCGAAUUUUGUGUGAAAACGUGAGCUCCUUUUGCAAAAAGAAGACCCACGCGGUGAUGCACAAAGGGGUGAGAUGGAUGUGUGAGGGCACUCGGGCGUGCACAACCUUUGAAAGGUUAGCGACAGCCUUUGCACCCCCGUUUUACGAUAAUGAUCCUUCCGCAGGUUCACCUACGGAAA
This 224-nucleotide unclassified non-coding RNA is filed under the name uncultured fungus. Its description in RNAcentral is "sequence contains ITS1". Lineage: Eukaryota; Fungi. The record is from RNAcentral.